Molecule: ribosomal RNA, 450 nt
Filed under: uncultured bacterium
Lineage: Bacteria
Description: partial 16S ribosomal RNA
Rfam family: Bacterial small subunit ribosomal RNA
Source: RNAcentral
GUGGGGAAUAUUGGACAAUGGGCGCAAGCCUGAUCCAGCCAUGCCGCGUGUGUGAAGAAGGUCUUCGGAUUGUAAAGCACUUUAAGUUGGGAGGAAGGGCAGUAAGUUAAUACCUUGCUGUUUUGACGUUACCGACAGAAUAAGCACCGGCUAACUUCGUGCCAGCAGCCGCGGUAAUACGAAGGGUGCAAGCGUUAAUCGGAAUUACUGGGCGUAAAGCGCGCGUAGGUGGUUUUGUAAGUUGGAGGUGAAAUCCCCGGGCUCAACCUGGGAACUGCCUCCAAAACUGCAUGACUAGAGUACGGUAGAGGGUAGUGGAAUUACCUGUGUAGCGGUGAAAUGCGUAGAUAUAGGAAGGAACACCAGUGGCGAAGGCGACUACCUGGACUGAUACUGACACUGAGGUGCGAAAGCGUGGGGAGCAAACAGGAUUAGAAACCCUGGUAGUCC